GCGGUGCUUUCACCAAGCCGGAGGUAUUCAUCAACCACAUCAGCCGCACAACCAUAUGCCAUCAUACGAAUGGCUGCUGUAGAUUUUUGUAGUGCAGAGAGACCGGAUCUUCCGGUAGCAUCUCUUCUUUGUUGAAAGAAUGGAAGAUGAGUAGAGAGGCCAUCAACAAUGAAAUAGUCGUUCCAUAAACAGAUAUGGCCUUGUUCCCAAUCUCUCUCAAUAUAAGCUCUUUUU
RNAcentral lists this long non-coding RNA (234 nucleotides) under Eutrema salsugineum. RNAcentral's name for it is "long non-coding RNA (ESAL_LNC001701)". The record is from RNAcentral. Lineage: Eukaryota; Viridiplantae; Streptophyta; Magnoliopsida; Brassicales; Brassicaceae.